Molecule: transfer RNA, 71 nt
Filed under: Ophiognomonia clavigignenti-juglandacearum
Lineage: Eukaryota; Fungi; Ascomycota; Sordariomycetes; Diaporthales; Gnomoniaceae
Also listed under: 1 other name
Description: tRNA-Thr
Rfam family: tRNA
About the family: Transfer RNA (tRNA) molecules are approximately 80 nucleotides in length. Their secondary structure includes four short double-helical elements and three loops (D, anti-codon, and T loops).
Source: RNAcentral
GCCUGGUUAGCAUAAAAGAAAUGCAAUUGUUUUGUAAUCAAUUGAAGGGGGUGCGAUACCCCCACUGGGCU